AGUGAACGCUGGCGGUAGGCCUAACACAUGCAAGUCGAACGGCAGCACAGUAAGAGCUUGCUCUUACGGGUGGCGAGUGGCGGACGGGUGAGGAAGACAUCGGAAUCUACUUUUUCGUGGGGGAUAACGUAGGGAAACUUACGCUAAUACCGCAUACGACCUACGGGUGAAAGCAGGGGAUCUUCGGACCUUGCGCGAUUGAAUGAGCCGAUGUCGGAUUAGCUAGUUGGCGGGGUAAAGGCCCACCAAGGCGACGAUCCGUAGCUGGUCUGAGAGGAUGAUCAGCCACACUGGAACUGAGACACGGUCCAGACUCCUACGGGAGGCAGCAGUGGGGAAUAUUGGACAAUGGGCGCAAGCCUGAUCCAGCCAUGCCGCGUGGGUGAAGAAGGCCUUCGGGUUGUAAAGCCAUUUUGUUGGGAAAGAAAAGCAGCAGGUUAAUACCCCGCUGUUCUGACGGUACCCAAAGAAUAAGCACCGGCUAACUUCGUG
This 492-nucleotide ribosomal RNA is filed under the name uncultured bacterium. Its description in RNAcentral is "partial 16S ribosomal RNA". It matches the Rfam family "Bacterial small subunit ribosomal RNA", at positions 29 to 507 of the family's 1533-position model. The record is from RNAcentral.